GGCGAUUCCGGAUCCUAUGACACUGGGAUGAGCUGUCUAGCAUUCAUGAUUGCAGCUACCUCAACCAUGAGUGUGGUGAGAACCUCAUGUGUCAGCUUUCUACAAGUGAUACAUCUGUGAAACAGACUGCCGAUGCAGCGUUUAGCUCCCACCAGCCAGAACCCUGCUGCUCGAAUGGCGCCUUCAUUCAGAUGUCUUCCUUGGUGUUUUAAUGCUUCGUGAUAGUGAGACACAAGCAGGGUUAUGAGAUGGUGCUGGCCAGGAAUGAUGAUGGGGUGAGUCUCGUUCCUGUUCAGAUCUGACAAUCCAAUCCGACCUCCCACUCUAAGAAGUUGAUCUUGGUCCACGGUGGGGUCCAAUUUCCACAGGCUGCUGGAAGAUGGGAUGUUAGAUCCUGAGUUAAUACACUUAAUAUCCUCUGUAUAGCACUCAUUCUGGACACUCUUCACAAUGCACACUUUGGCCCUCAACAACUCUUCCUCUGUAGAGCGACAGAUAUGCCACCCCUGAAAUUCAUUCUGGGUGGAGUGGGCAAAGGAACGAGCCACUUGGAUGAGAUGCGCUAUGGCUGUGAGGAGAUUGCUGAACUUGGAGAAACGUUCCAAGUGUUGUGGGUGUACCACAUCUCUGGUAACGUGUGAGACUUGUCACCACCUGGGGACGCACUUAGGAGUCGGUGACAGGGUCAAUAAGGUUAUAGGUCUCUUGAAGCGCAGAUGAAUGCAAAGAUGCAUCACGGAGAAAGGCUGGUCCUUUGAGCCAAGUUGUGCUGCUGAGCAAGGCUGGUGUCACAGUUCUUGUCCCAAUGUCAGCUGGGUUGAGGUGCAUUGGAACGUACUUCCACUGGCCGGAACAAGGCGAUUGAUGGAUUUGUUGGAUCCUGUUGUGUACGAAGACAUAAAAUCUCCUUGACUGGUUCUGGAUGUACCCUAACACCGCCUUGCUAUCUGUGUAAUAGGUGAUGUUGUCGAAUAUCGUGUCCAUCUCUGUGACUACUAUCUCGGCAAUCUCGAUGGCGAGUACAGCCGCACAGAGCUCAAGUCUUGGGAUAGUUAAGCCAGGCUGGGGGGCCAACUUUGCCUUCCCGAAGGCAGAGGCAACCUCAGUCUUUUCUAGGUGGUUUGUCAUCCUGAUGUAGGCAAGACACAGAGUUCUCUUCUUAGCGCACCUGCAGUGGAGAAGGACGUUUAAGGGUGUGGUAUCUGAAGCCCCACUAGGUCUUGGAGUGACUGUUUUCAUCUAGUCCACUCAAUCUCCAUGUCUUUGGGAAGAGGUGAGUCCCAGUCCUCUGGUUGUGUGGUGAGUUCCCUGAGUAUCUGUCUUCCAUGAACCGUGAUGGGUGCGAGGAACCCUAGAGGAUCGUAGAGGCUAUCCACGGUUGAGAGUACCCCUCUGCGAGUGAACGGCUUCUUGUCAUCUU
This is a long non-coding RNA of Esox lucius (northern pike), 1420 nucleotides long. The record is from Ensembl. NCBI's taxonomy places the organism in Eukaryota, Metazoa, Chordata, Actinopteri, Esociformes, Esocidae.